AGAGUGAACGCUGGCGGCAGGCCUAACACAUGCAAGUCGAACGGCAGCACAGGAGAGCUUGCUCUCUGGGUGGCGAGUGGCGGACGGGUGAGGAAUACAUCGGAAUCUGCCUAUUUGUGGGGGAUAACGUAGGGAAACUUACGCUAAUACCGCAUACGACCUACGGGUGAAAGCGGAGGACCUUCGGGCUUCGCGCAGAUAGAUGAGCCGAUGUCGGAUUAGCUAGUUGGUGGGGUAAAGGCCCACCAAGGCGACGAUCCGUAGCUGGUCUGAGAGGAUGAUCAGCCACACUGGAACUGAGACACGGUCAGACUCCUACGGGAGCAGCAGUGGGGAAUAGUUAGG
Molecule: ribosomal RNA, 345 nt
Filed under: uncultured soil bacterium
Lineage: Bacteria
Description: bacterial SSU rRNA
Rfam family: Bacterial small subunit ribosomal RNA
Source: RNAcentral